UGACUNGAGUGCAGAAGGGGAGAGUGGAAUUCCAUGUGUAGCGGUGAAGUGCGUAGAUAUAUGGAGGAACACCAGUGGCGAAAGCGGCUCUCUGGUCUGUCACUGACGCUGAGGCUCGAAAGCGUGGGUAGCGAACAGGAUUAGAUACCCUGGUAGUNCACGCCGUAAACGAUGAGUGCUAGGUGUUAGGCCCUUUCCGGGGCUUAGUGCCGGAGCUACGCAAUAAGCACUCCGCCUGGGGAGUACGACCGCAAGGUUGAAACUCAAAGGAAUUGACGGGGGCCCGCACAAGCGGUGGAGCAUGUGGUUUAAUUCGAAGCAACGCGAAGAACCUUACCAGGUCUUGACAUCCCGAUGCUAUUCUUAGAGAUAGGAAGUUACUUCGGUACAUCGGAGACAGGUGGUGCAUGGUUGUCGUCAGCUCGUGUCGUGAGAUGUUGGGUUAAGUCCCGCAACGAGCGCAACCCUUAUUGUUAGUUGCCAUCAUUAAGUUGGGCACUCUAGCGAGACUGCCGGUAAUAAACCGGAGGAAGGUGGGGAUGACGUCAAAUCAUCAUGCCCCUUAUGACCUGGGCUACACACGUGCUACAAUGGUCGGUACAACGAGUUGCGAGCCGGUGACGGCAAGCUAAUCUCUGAAAGCCGAUCUCAGUUCGGAUUGGAGGCUGCAACUCGCCUCCAUGAAGUCGGAAUCGCUAGUAAUCGCGGAUCAGCACGCCGCGGUGAAUACGUUCCCGGGCCUUGUACACACCGCCCGUCACACCACGAGAGUUUGUAGCACCCGAAGUCGGUGAGGUAACCUUUUAGGGGCCAGCCGCC
This 819-nucleotide ribosomal RNA is filed under the name uncultured bacterium. RNAcentral describes it as "bacterial SSU rRNA". It matches the Rfam family "Bacterial small subunit ribosomal RNA", at positions 638 to 1457 of the family's 1533-position model. The record is from RNAcentral.